UGCGGAAGGAUCAUUACGAAAUUCGGCGCGCUUCGGCGCUGCCUUAUUCACCCACCCUUUGUCUACGUGUACCUCUAUAGCUUCCUCGGCGGGCUCGCCCGCCGCCAGGAACCCACGAAACCCCUUGCAUUAUACACGAAAACUUCUGAUAACAAACCUAAAUUAUCACAACUUUCAACAAUGGAUCUCUUGGUUCUGGCAUCGAUGAAGAACGCAGCGAAAUGCGAUAAGUAGUGUGAAUUGCAGAAUUCAGUGAAUCAUCGAAUCUUUGAACGCACAUUGCGGCCAUAGGUAUUCCUUUGGCCAUGCCUGUUCGAGCGUCAUUUACACCCUCAAGCCUAGCUUGGUGUUGGGCGUCUGUCCCGCCGUUUUCGCGCGCGGACUCGCCUCAAAGUCAUUGGCGGCGGUCGUGCCGGCUCCUCGCGCAGCACAUUUGCGCUUCUCGGAGGCCCGGCGGAUCCGCGCUCCAGCAAAGA
Molecule: ribosomal RNA, 476 nt
Filed under: Periconia sp. E10522b
Lineage: Eukaryota; Fungi; Ascomycota; Dothideomycetes; Pleosporales; Periconiaceae
Description: eukaryotic LSU rRNA
Rfam family: 5.8S ribosomal RNA (bases 170-323)
Source: RNAcentral